Molecule: ribosomal RNA, 209 nt
Filed under: uncultured bacterium
Lineage: Bacteria
Description: partial 16S ribosomal RNA
Rfam family: Bacterial small subunit ribosomal RNA
Source: RNAcentral
UCUACGGGAGGCAGCAGUAGGGAAUCUUUCACAAUGGGCGAAAGCCUGAUGGAGCAACGCCGCGUGCAGGAUGACGGCCUUCGGGUUGUAAACUGCUUUUAUAACCGAGAAAUAUGAUGGUAAGUUAUGAAUAAGGACCGGCUAACUACGUGCCAGCAGCCGCGGUAAUGUCAUACGUAGGGUCCAAGCAUUAUCCGGAUUGACUGGGU